RNAcentral lists this ribosomal RNA (303 nucleotides) under uncultured bacterium. RNAcentral's name for it is "partial 16S ribosomal RNA". It matches the Rfam family "Bacterial small subunit ribosomal RNA", at positions 507 to 809 of the family's 1533-position model. The record is from RNAcentral.
AGCAGUAGCCACGGGAAUACGGAGGAUCCAAGCGUUAUCCGGAAUCAUUGGGUUUAAAGGGUCUGUAGGCGGUCUUGUAAGUCAGUGGUGAAAGCCCAUCGCUCAACGGUGGAACGGCCAUUGAUACUGCAGGACUUGAAUUAUUGGGAAGUAACUAGAAUAUGUAGUGUAGCGGUGAAAUGCUUAGAGAUUACAUGGAAUACCAAUUGCGAAGGCAGGUUACUACCAAUUGAUUGACGCUGAUGGACGAAAGCGUGGGUAGCGAACAGGAUUAGAUACCCCCGUAGUCCCUGUCUCUUAUAA